AUACGUAUGUCGCAAGCGUUAUCCGGAUUUAUUGGGCGUAAAGCGCGUCUAGGCGGCUUAGUAAGUCUGAUGUGAAAAUGCGGGGCUCAACCCCGUAUUGCGUUGGAAACUGCUAAACCAGAGUACUGGAGAGGUAGGCGGAACUACAAGUGUAGAGGUGAAAUUCGUAGAUAUUUGUAGGAAUGCCGAUGGGGAAGCCAGCCUACUGGACAGAUACUGACGCUAAAGCGCGAAAGCGUGGGUAGCAAACAGGAUUAGAUACCCUGGUAGUCCACGCCGUAAACGAUGAUUACUAGGUGUUGGGGGUCGAACCUCAGCGCCCAAGCUAACGCGAUAAGUAAUCCGCCUGGGGAGUACGUACGCAAGAAUGAAACUCAAAGGAAUUGACGGGG
RNAcentral lists this ribosomal RNA (392 nucleotides) under uncultured bacterium. RNAcentral's name for it is "partial 16S ribosomal RNA". It matches the Rfam family "Bacterial small subunit ribosomal RNA", at positions 523 to 918 of the family's 1533-position model. The record is from RNAcentral.